Long non-coding RNA from Cephus cinctus (wheat stem sawfly), 372 nucleotides. RefSeq lists it as uncharacterized. The transcript is spliced from 3 exons. The record is from RefSeq and is a predicted model, not a curated record. NCBI's taxonomy places the organism in Eukaryota, Metazoa, Arthropoda, Insecta, Hymenoptera, Cephidae.
ACUCGUUGUGGAACGAUACGUGCUCGUCUUGUUUCUUGAUCCUGCAGGUGGAUGCUGCAAUCCAAAAGGACGCAUCUGCAGAACCACUUUUCUUCGAAGUCGGAAGGCGCUUAGAAGUCGCCAAGAAAAAGAAGGCACAGGUCAUAUCCUAUUCCUCUGGCGAAACUUUGAAAGACCAUACGUAACAUCGUGUGGAAGCACCUGAAGAGGAGGAACGAUGAAGUAUGACAUCUAAAGGGUAAGAGAAUAGGGCAGGGUAGAAGGAUCCUGGUACACAUGGUUAAUCAUUCAAAAAUGCUUGGCAGAACUAGCUCGGGUCGAGUGCCUGUAUAUAUGUAUAUACAUAACAUAAGUCUUCCUUAUCGUGGAAAU